Molecule: ribosomal RNA, 1390 nt
Filed under: Microbacterium sp.
Lineage: Bacteria; Bacillati; Actinomycetota; Actinomycetes; Micrococcales; Microbacteriaceae
Description: bacterial SSU rRNA
Source: RNAcentral
UGCAAGUCGAACGGUGAAGCCCAGCUUGCUGGGUGGAUCAGUGGCGAACGGGUGAGUAACACGUGAGCAACCUGCCCCUGACUCUGGGAUAAGCGCUGGAAACGGCGUCUAAUACUGGAUAUGUGACGUGACCGCAUGGUCUGCGUUUGGAAAGAUUUUUCGGUUGGGGAUGGGCUCGCGGCCUAUCAGCUUGUUGGUGAGGUAAUGGCUCACCAAGGCGUCGACGGGUAGCCGGCCUGAGAGGGUGACCGGCCACACUGGGACUGAGACACGGCCCAGACUCCUACGGGAGGCAGCAGUGGGGAAUAUUGCACAAUGGGCGCAAGCCUGAUGCAGCAACGCCGCGUGAGGGAUGACGGCCUUCGGGUUGUAAACCUCUUUUAGCAGGGAAGAAGCGAAAGUGACGGUACCUGCAGAAAAAGCGCCGGCUAACUACGUGCCAGCAGCCGCGGUAAUACGUAGGGCGCAAGCGUUAUCCGGAAUUAUUGGGCGUAAAGAGCUCGUAGGCGGUUUGUCGCGUCUGCUGUGAAAUCCCGAGGCUCAACCUCGGGCCUGCAGUGGGUACGGGCAGACUAGAGUGCGGUAGGGGAGAUUGGAAUUCCUGGUGUAGCGGUGGAAUGCGCAGAUAUCAGGAGGAACACCGAUGGCGAAGGCAGAUCUCUGGGCCGUAACUGACGCUGAGGAGCGAAAGGGUGGGGAGCAAACAGGCUUAGAUACCCUGGUAGUCCACCCCGUAAACGUUGGGAACUAGUUGUGGGGUCCAUUCCACGGAUUCCGUGACGCAGCUAACGCAUUAAGUUCCCCGCCUGGGGAGUACGGCCGCAAGGCUAAAACUCAAAGGAAUUGACGGGGACCCGCACAAGCGGCGGAGCAUGCGGAUUAAUUCGAUGCAACGCGAAGAACCUUACCAAGGCUUGACAUAUACGAGAACGGGCCAGAAAUGGUCAACUCUUUGGACACUCGUAAACAGGUGGUGCAUGGUUGUCGUCAGCUCGUGUCGUGAGAUGUUGGGUUAAGUCCCGCAACGAGCGCAACCCUCGUUCUAUGUUGCCAGCACGUAAUGGUGGGAACUCAUGGGAUACUGCCGGGGUCAACUCGGARGAAGGGUGGGGAUGACGUCAAAUCAUCAUGCCCCUUAUGUCUUGGGCUUCACGCMUGCUACAAUGGCCGGUACAAAGGGCUGCAAUACCGCGAGGUGGAGCGAAUCCCAAAAAGCCGGUCCCAGUUCGGAUUGAGGUCUGCAACUCGACCUCAUGAAGUCGGAGUCGCUAGUAAUCGCAGAUCAGCAACGCUGCGGUGAAUACGUUCCCGGGUCUUGUACACACCGCAAGUCAAGUCAUGAAAGUCGGUAACACCUGAAGCCGGUGGCCUAACCCUUGUGGAGGGAGCC